CCUACGGGAGGCUGCAGUGGGGAAUAUUGCGCAAUGGGCGUAAGCCUGACGCAGCGACGCCGCGUGAGUGAUGAAGGUCUUCGGAUCGUAAACCUCUGUCCGCAGGGAAGAACGUUCACAGUGCUAAUCAGCAGUGAAUUGACGGUACCUGCAAAAGCAGCACCGGCUAACUCCGUGCCAGCAGCCGCGGUAAUACGGAGGGUGCGAGCGUUGAUCGGAAUUACUGGGCGUAAAGCGCACGUAGGCGGUAUGUCAAGUCAAGGGUGAAAGCCCAGAGCUCAACUUUGGAACUGCCUUUGAAACUGGAAAACUGGAGUGUGUGAGAGGAUAGUGGAAUUCCAGGUGUAGGAGUGAAAUGCGUAGAUAUCUGGAGGAACAGCAGUGGCGAAGGCGACUAGCUGGCAUAUAACUGACGCUGAGGAGCGAGAGCGUGGGUAGCAAACAGGAUUAGAUACCCGGGUAGUC
This 465-nucleotide ribosomal RNA is filed under the name uncultured bacterium. RNAcentral's name for it is "partial 16S ribosomal RNA". It matches the Rfam family "Bacterial small subunit ribosomal RNA", at positions 338 to 795 of the family's 1533-position model. The record is from RNAcentral.